GUCUAUAGCCAUGCCACCCUGAACGCGCCCGAUCCCAUCUGAUCUUGGAAGCUAAGCAAGGUCAGGCCUGAUUAGUACUUGGAUGGGAAACCACCUGGGAAUACCAGGUGCUAUAGGCU
Molecule: non-coding RNA, 119 nt
Organism: Pteropus alecto (black flying fox)
Lineage: Eukaryota; Metazoa; Chordata; Mammalia; Chiroptera; Pteropodidae
Source: Rfam